CAACCCUCAAGCCCCUCCGGGAGGCUUGGUGUUGGGGAUCGGCCCGCCCCCGCGGCGCCGGCCCCGAAAUACAGUGGCGGUCUCGCUGCAGCCUCCCUUGCGUAGUAGCACAUCUCGCACUGGAGAGUGGCGGGACCACGCCGUGAAACCCCCCAAUUCUGAACG
RNAcentral lists this unclassified non-coding RNA (165 nucleotides) under uncultured Hypocreales. Its description in RNAcentral is "sequence contains ITS2". Lineage: Eukaryota; Fungi; Ascomycota; Sordariomycetes; Hypocreales. The record is from RNAcentral.